RNAcentral lists this non-coding RNA (45 nucleotides) under Schistosoma margrebowiei. Lineage: Eukaryota; Metazoa; Platyhelminthes; Trematoda; Strigeidida; Schistosomatidae. The record is from RNAcentral.
AUCCAGCCGACGAGCCUUAAACAGACCGAAACGUGCGUCCUGGAU